Populus nigra (black poplar) is the source of this 530-nucleotide long non-coding RNA. RefSeq lists it as uncharacterized. The transcript is spliced from 3 exons. The record is from RefSeq and is a predicted model, not a curated record. NCBI's taxonomy places the organism in Eukaryota, Viridiplantae, Streptophyta, Magnoliopsida, Malpighiales, Salicaceae.
CCAACACUCCCACGUUAAUAACUGGGAAGGAUGUCUCGCAUGGCUCUCCUGGACGGGCGGCCUGCGGCAUCUUUUGCUGCGGUACUGUCAUUGACAACAAAAUUUGUCAUCCAAGAAAUAAUGACUUCUACAUUUGUGCUCAUGCUGGGAUGAUUGUGAGUUGCAAAAUGUUGUUUUUAUUCUUCCUGUUCAAUCUGUUGAGCGAAAUGAUUGAAUAUUGUCACCUCCAUUAAACCAGCUGUGUGGUGUACUGGUGUUCAUUCCUCUCCGUAGGGGAGCAGCUCGGCCUACGUAUUCCUGCAGAUGAUGAGCUUGGUUUUUCUGCAGAUGAUUUGCAAUAACCUGUGCAUUCCUUGUCAUAUGUGAAGUAAGAUUUCAUGGAAAUAGGACAUAAUUAGCAAAUCAAUUCUGUAACAGUUCUUUAUUGCAAGGAUUUUUUCGUUUAUCUUGUGCUGUAAUCACUGGUUAGAACUGGAAAUCAGCUACUCUCCAAUUACAUUCGCUCAUGAAAGCAGUUCAAUGCUCACAGU